Molecule: ribosomal RNA, 857 nt
Filed under: Curvularia verruculosa
Lineage: Eukaryota; Fungi; Ascomycota; Dothideomycetes; Pleosporales; Pleosporaceae
Description: eukaryotic LSU rRNA
Rfam family: Eukaryotic large subunit ribosomal RNA
Source: RNAcentral
CAACAGGGAUUGCCCUAGUAACGGCGAGUGAAGCGGCAACAGCUCAAAUUUGAAAUCUGGCUCUUUUAGAGUCCGAGUUGUAAUUUGCAGAGGGCGCUUUGGCUUUGGCAGCGGUCCAAGUUCCUUGGAACAGGACGUCACAGAGGGUGAGAAUCCCGUACGUGGUCGCUAGCUAUUGCCGUGUAAAGCCCCUUCGACGAGUCGAGUUGUUUGGGAAUGCAGCUCUAAAUGGGAGGUAAAUUUCUUCUAAAGCUAAAUAUUGGCCAGAGACCGAUAGCGCACAAGUAGAGUGAUCGAAAGAUGAAAAGCACUUUGGAAAGAGAGUCAAACAGCACGUGAAAUUGUUGAAAGGGAAGCGCUUGCAGCCAGACUUGCUUGCAGUUGCUCAUCCGGGCUUUUGCCCGGUGCACUCUUCUGCAGGCAGGCCAGCAUCAGUUUGGGCGGUGGGAUAAAGGUCUCUGACACGUUCCUCUCUUCGGGGAGGCCAUAUAGGGGAGACGUCAUACCACCAGCCUGGACUGAGGUCCGCGCAUCUGCUAGGAUGCUGGCGUAAUGGCUGUAAGCGGCCCGUCUUGAAACACGGACCAAGGAGUCUAACAUCUAUGCGAGUGUUUGGGUGUCAAGCCCGAACGCGUAAUGAAAGUGAACGGAGGUGGGAACCCGCAAGGGCGCACCAUCGACCGAUCCUGAAGUUUACGGAAGGAUUUGAGUAAGAGCAUGGCUGUUGGGACCCGAAAGAUGGUGAACUAUGCUUGAAUAGGGUGAAGCCAGAGGAAACUCUGGUGGAGGCUCGCAGCGGUUCUGACGUGCAAAUCGAUCGUCAAAUUUGGGCAUAGGGGCGAAAGACUAAUCGAACU